UUGCCCCAGUAACGGCGAGUGAAGCGGCAAGAGCUCAGAUUUGAAAUCCGGCGCCCCCCGGGGCGCCCGAGUUGUAAUCUGCAGAGGGACCUCCUGGCGCGGCGCCGUCCGAGUUCCCUGGAACGGGACGCCUCAGAGGGUGAGAGCCCCGUACGGUCGGACGCCCAGCCUGUGUGGAGCCCCUUCGGCGAGUCGAGUAGUUUGGGAAUGCUGCUCAAAACGGGAGGUAUACGCCUUCUAAAGCUAAAUACCGGCCAGAGACCGAUAGCGCACAAGUAGAGUGAUCGAAAGAUGAAAAGCACUUUGAAAAGAGGGUUAAACAGUACGUGAAAUUGUUGAAAGGGAAGCGCUCGCGGCCAGACUCGGGCCCGGCGGAUCAUCCGGCGCUCGCGCCGGUGCACUCCGCCGGGCUCCGGGCCAGCAUCGGCCCGCGGCGGGGGACAAAGGCGCCGGGAACGUGGCUCCCCAGGGAGUGUUAUAGCCCGGCGCGCAACGCCCCGCGGCGGGCCGAGGUUCGCGCGUCCGCAAGGAUGCUGGCGUAAUGGCCACCAGCGACCCGUCUUGAAACACGGACCAAGGAGUCGUCUUCGCAUGCGAGUGUUCGGGCGUCAAACCCGUGCGCGCAAUGAAAGUGAACGCCGGUGGGAGCCCCCCGCGGGGCGCACCGCCGACCGAUCCUGAAGUUCACGGAUGGAUUUGAGUAGGAGCAUGCGGGGCCGGACCCGAAAGAAGGUGAACUAUGCCUGUGUAGGGUGAAGCCAGAGGAAACUCUGGUGGAGGCUCGCAGCGGUUCUGACGUGCAAAUCGAUCGUCAAACAUGGGCAUGGGGGCGAAAGACUAAU
This 842-nucleotide ribosomal RNA is filed under the name Ophiocordyceps camponoti-leonardi. RNAcentral describes it as "partial large subunit ribosomal RNA". It matches the Rfam family "Eukaryotic large subunit ribosomal RNA", at positions 75 to 935 of the family's 3401-position model. Lineage: Eukaryota; Fungi; Ascomycota; Sordariomycetes; Hypocreales; Ophiocordycipitaceae. The record is from RNAcentral.